Molecule: ribosomal RNA, 669 nt
Filed under: Escherichia coli
Lineage: Bacteria; Pseudomonadati; Pseudomonadota; Gammaproteobacteria; Enterobacterales; Enterobacteriaceae
Description: partial 23S ribosomal RNA
Rfam family: Bacterial large subunit ribosomal RNA
Source: RNAcentral
CGGUCUCCUCCUAAAGAGUAACGGAGGAGCACGAAGGUUGGCUAAUCCUGGUCGGACAUCAGGAGGUUAGUGCAAUGGCAUAAGCCAGCUUGACUGCGAGCGUGACGGCGCGAGCAGGUGCGAAAGCAGGUCAUAGUGAUCCGGUGGUUCUGAAUGGAAGGGCCAUCGCUCAACGGAUAAAAGGUACUCCGGGGAUAACAGGCUGAUACCGCCCAAGAGUUCAUAUCGACGGCGGUGUUUGGCACCUCGAUGUCGGCUCAUCACAUCCUGGGGCUGAAGUAGGUCCCAAGGGUAUGGCUGUUCGCCAUUUAAAGUGGUACGCGAGCUGGGUUUAGAACGUCGUGAGACAGUUCGGUCCCUAUCUGCCGUGGGCGCUGGAGAACUGAGGGGGGCUGCUCCUAGUACGAGAGGACCGGAGUGGACGCAUCACUGGUGUUCGGGUUGUCAUGCCAAUGGCACUGCCCGGUAGCUAAAUGCGGAAGAGAUAAGUGCUGAAAGCAUCUAAGCACGAAACUUGCCCCGAGAUGAGUUCUCCCUGACCCUUUAAGGGUCCUGAAGGAACGUUGAAGACGACGACGUUGAUAGGCCGGGUGUGUAAGCGCAGCGAUGCGUUGAGCUAACCGGUACUAAUGAACCGUGAGGCUUAACCUUACAACGCCGAAGGUGUUU